RNAcentral lists this ribosomal RNA (441 nucleotides) under uncultured bacterium. Its description in RNAcentral is "partial 16S ribosomal RNA". It matches the Rfam family "Bacterial small subunit ribosomal RNA", at positions 338 to 795 of the family's 1533-position model. The record is from RNAcentral.
CCUACGGGAGGCAGCAGUGGGGAAUAUUGCACAAUGGGGGAAACCCUGAUGCAGCGACGCCGCGUGAGUGAAGAAGUAUUUCGGUAUGUAAAGCUCUAUCAGCAGGGAAGAAAAAAGACGGUACCUGACUAAGAAGCCCCGGCUAACUACGUGCCAGCAGCCGCGGUAAUACGUAGGGGGCAAGCGUUAUCCGGAAUUACUGGGUGGAAAGGGUGCGUAGGUGGCAUGGUAAGUCAGAAGUGAAAGCCCGGGGCUUAACCCCGGGACUGCUUUUGAAACUGUCAUGCUGGAGUGCAGGAGAGGUAAGCGGAAUUCCUGGUGUAGCGGUGAAAUGCGUAGAUAUUAGGAGGAACACCAGUGGCGAAGGCGGCUUACUGGACUGUCACUGACACGGAUGCACGAAAGCGUGGGGAGCAAACAGGAUUAGAUACCCUUGUAGUC